ACCAAUUCUGGGAGAUAAACAGAGUUCUUCUUGGUAUAAUGGCUUGGACGCUAAAGUAUAGAGAUGUGGCUAUCCUGAUCUGUGGCUUCUUUCCGUGCCAUCGGUCCUGGAAACACCACAUACAUCC
Molecule: small nucleolar RNA, 127 nt
Organism: Magnolia sinica
Lineage: Eukaryota; Viridiplantae; Streptophyta; Magnoliopsida; Magnoliales; Magnoliaceae
Source: RefSeq, a predicted model, not a curated record